AGGGCAAAGAAUCUUUUGUCACCUGAAAAACCAACGCAUUUGUUGUAGGGUGGUGGGCUUUUGCUCAGACUACACAAAACUACUGGGAAAUCUGUGACUGAUCAGAUGGAGGUUUUGUUUAUUGUGGUGGAAAUAGCGGGGCAAGAUUGUGGUUGAGCAAUGCUGGAAGAUGGGGGUGGUUAGUUAGCCGUUUCCCUACAGGCUGGUUGUGCAAUUAAAAAAAUCCCCCCCAGCUGUUUCCCCAUCUCAUGGUUCUUUUGUGGGUGCCUGUGAGGAAGCUGCUGGAAGGGCGAUUUUUAUUGCAAAAGCAGUCUGUGGGGACGAGGAUUAAUCACUGCCAUCUCCACCCCAGCACUCCUGCUGCAAACAGUUUUGCAGUCCCCACAAACCUUCACUUCCCUUUUAAAAAUUAAAAAUAAAACCGUCAGGAUAUUGAUUAAGAAUAUCCUGAUGUUGUGUGGUCUAGAUCUGAUUAUGGUAUACUAAAUGGUGCUAAGUUCAUAACACUGCAGAGUUAUUGCUUCAGACCCUCCUCCCUCGUGAUAAAGAGAAUUUAUUUGCAGCUCUUGCGCCAAGACGCUCUCAGAGCAGCUUACAUUAUCAGUCUAAAAUAUAAAAUGCAAUAUAAGAAGACAGCAAAAACACAAUUUCAGAGAGCAGGUGCUGUGCAGCCAAGCUCCUCCUCCCAUUGUAGAGUUCAUGGUUGACAAGUUUGAGCCUGCAGAUGGCCACCUGUUCGUGGGCUUGUCUGUAAGAAAAGAAGGGUGCAACCUGAUUUCAGCCAUACCUACAACAACCCUGCAAAAGAGGUCCGUAUGGUGCCUUUGCGGAAGGGAGGGGCUGGGGCCAAGACCCCAAGAAGAAGUGACUGGCCCAAGGCCUCCUGCUAAACCCAUCGCAUAGGUCACUUGGAAGGAGACACAGUCUGAUGAGCCACCCACCUGUAUGCUAGGCAGCUCUGAAUCCUGUAACAUUUUUCAGGUGAGGAAUCCCAACAACCCUCAGGCUGAGAAGCAGCAGCCCUCAUCCUGCCCUCAGUCCUGGAGCCUUACACAGCUGCUCCUGCAUCUCAAAAAAUAUUAGCUGGAGUUGAACUUGGAGGUCUUCAGUAAAAGCAGGAAGCUGAUGCUGCAGUGUCCCUGGUCCAGAAGGACUUCCUGUGAUUAUCUUCUUCCGUAGAGCCCAGUUGCUAAAUGUCUCUUGAUCCUAUCCCCUGAGAAUUGCUUUCUCAUUCUGUUUUGCCUCCUAUCCCACUAAAAGGAGAAUAGACCCAUGUAGUGAUAGUAAAGACUUCAGGGGAGGACUAGGCCUCACUAAGAGCAACUGCUGGGAGGGUAGUCCUUUCCUACUAAGGGGGAAAGCCCAGGAAAUUCAAAACAGAAGGACCAGUCCAGAGGACUGGGUGGGACCCCCCCCACACACACACACAGAGAGAACAACCUAAUGAAGAAAAGAGACCUGUUGGGGAAAUGUGAAGGAAGGGAAGUUAUUUUUCUUUACUAUAUUGCUUGAAAUCUGAGUUGCCUGGUUUAAUGGAAACUCUCUUAUAAUCUGUUUUAUGAGACAAUUAUUGUUAUUGCAUGUUGUUGUUUUUCUUUUAAUCUAAUAAUAAAUCCUUGUUGGUGAA
This is a long non-coding RNA of Hemicordylus capensis (graceful crag lizard), 1627 nucleotides long. RefSeq lists it as uncharacterized. Lineage: Eukaryota; Metazoa; Chordata; Lepidosauria; Squamata; Cordylidae. The record is from RefSeq and is a predicted model, not a curated record. The transcript has 2 exons.